This 468-nucleotide ribosomal RNA is filed under the name uncultured bacterium. Its description in RNAcentral is "partial 16S ribosomal RNA". It matches the Rfam family "Bacterial small subunit ribosomal RNA", at positions 28 to 507 of the family's 1533-position model. The record is from RNAcentral.
GACGAACGCUGGCGGCGUGCUUAACACAUGCAAGUCGAACGGAAAGGCCCUGCUUUUGUGGGGUGCUCGAGUGGCGAACGGGUGAGUAACACGUGAGUAACCUGCCCUUGACUUUGGGAUAACUCCAGGAAACUGGGGCUAAUACCGGAUAGGAGCUCCUGCUGCAUGGUGGGGGUUGGAAAGUUUCGGCGGUGGGGGAUGGACUCGCGGCUUAUCAGCUUGUUGGUGGGGUAGUGGCUUACCAAGGCUUUGACGGGUAGCCGGCCUGAGAGGGUGACCGGCCACAAUGGGACUGAGAUACGGCCCAGACUCCUACGGGAGGCAGCAGUGGAGAAUAUUGCACAAUGGGCGGAAGCCUGAUGCAGCAACGCCGCGUGCGGGAUGACGGCCUUCGGGUUGUAAACCGCUUUCGCCUGUGACGAAGCGUGAGUGACGGUAAUGGGUAAAGAAGCACCGGCUAACUACGUG